GACGAACGCUGGCGGCGUGCUUAACACAUGCAAGUCGAGCGGGGCCCAUCUUCGGGUGGUGCCCUAGCGGCGAACGGGUGAGUAACACGUGGGCAACCUGCCCUCAGCUCUGGGAUAACUUCAAGAAAUUGGUGCUAAUACCGGAUGUGACCGCUGACCGCAUGGUCUGGUGGUGGAAAGAUUCAUCGGCUGAGGAUGGGCCCGCGGCCUAUCAGCUUGUUGGUGGGGUAAUGGCCCACCAAGGCGA
This 247-nucleotide ribosomal RNA is filed under the name uncultured Actinomycetes bacterium. RNAcentral describes it as "uncultured actinobacterium partial 16S ribosomal RNA". It matches the Rfam family "Bacterial small subunit ribosomal RNA", at positions 28 to 276 of the family's 1533-position model. The record is from RNAcentral. Lineage: Bacteria; Bacillati; Actinomycetota; Actinomycetes.